RNAcentral lists this ribosomal RNA (173 nucleotides) under uncultured bacterium. RNAcentral's name for it is "partial 16S ribosomal RNA". It matches the Rfam family "Bacterial small subunit ribosomal RNA", at positions 357 to 529 of the family's 1533-position model. The record is from RNAcentral.
UAGGAAAUUGGUCAUGGAGGGACUCUGAACCAGCCUGCCGCGUGCAGGAAGACUGCCCUAUGGGUUGUAAACUGCUUUUAUCCGGGAAUAAACCUACUUACGUGUAAGUAGCUGAAUGUACCGGAAGAAUAAGGAUCGGCUAACUCCGUGCCAGCAGCCGCGGUAAUAUAAUA